UUCUUAUUAGCUUAAUGGUAGAGCAUGAUACUUCUAAUAUCAGUAUUCAAGUUCGAGUCUUGGAUAAGAAU
RNAcentral lists this transfer RNA (71 nucleotides) under Arthonia kermesina. RNAcentral's name for it is "tRNA-Arg". It matches the Rfam family "tRNA". From Rfam's summary of the family: Transfer RNA (tRNA) molecules are approximately 80 nucleotides in length. Their secondary structure includes four short double-helical elements and three loops (D, anti-codon, and T loops). Further hydrogen bonds mediate the characteristic L-shaped molecular structure. tRNAs have two regions of fundamental functional importance: the anti-codon, which is responsible for specific mRNA codon recognition, and the 3' end, to which the tRNAs corresponding amino acid is attached (by aminoacyl-tRNA synthetases). tRNAs cope with the degeneracy of the genetic code in two manners: having more than one tRNA (with a specific anti-codon) for a particular amino acid; and 'wobble' base-pairing, i.e. permitting non-standard base-pairing at the 3rd anti-codon position. The record is from RNAcentral. Lineage: Eukaryota; Fungi; Ascomycota; Arthoniomycetes; Arthoniales; Arthoniaceae.